Ornithorhynchus anatinus (platypus) is the source of this 799-nucleotide long non-coding RNA. RefSeq lists it as uncharacterized. The transcript has 3 exons. The record is from RefSeq and is a predicted model, not a curated record. NCBI's taxonomy places the organism in Eukaryota, Metazoa, Chordata, Mammalia, Monotremata, Ornithorhynchidae.
AGCCUCAGCUGCCCCUCAGCCCCGGAGGAUCUCCGUGUUCCUGGUCGGUCUGAAGAAGGCCAUCUCCAAGCCCUUUGUCACACUUCUGGACUCCCGGCAUUUCUCUGAGGACCCAAACCAGGCUAUAAAGUUCUUCCAAAGGCCCAGCCAAAAUCCCAGUGACAGCGGGAGCAGUUUGCCAGGACAUCAGAGAUCUAUGGGAACAAACAGAAGACAACAGUAACAGCCAAGGCCAAAAUGAAUCCUGAAGAAGACAAGGCGUCCUUUCCUGGCUCCUAACCUCGGCAUGGCUUUGGGUCCCGGGACCGACAGCUCCUCCCGCAGUGUGGACCCCCAUUCUGUGGACUCCCAACUUCUGCGAGUUGACACUUUAGUUACCCUGAGGCCUCAAGCAAACCUCUGGGGCAGAUGGGGCUGCAUCUCAGUUGCAGGAUGGUUAACUGUUUGCCAGGCAAGCCAGGGAUCUCGGAUGACACCAGUUCCUUGGCUUUGUAACCAAGAGAUUGGCUUUUUUUAACUUCCUAAGGAAAUCUUUUUAGAGGGACUAGAAAGGCCGGCCAGCGUGGCCAUUCCCUGGGAGCAGCACCGGCGAGAUUGGUGGGAAAAAGGAAAAGGGGGGCAGGAGCGGAAGGAGUUCUCUGACCCCUUCAGCCAGGCGCUACCAGGCACCUCUGCCACCGCACCAGGCUUGGCCACUCCCAGACACUCUCAACGCUCAGGGGCCCUUCAGGACUGAGUAAGCCCAGUUCUUGCACUGCCUUGUUCCCCUUCGUGGUGAUACCUCCUUGUUUUCUGCACU